This 1357-nucleotide ribosomal RNA is filed under the name Salmonella enterica subsp. enterica. RNAcentral describes it as "partial 23S ribosomal RNA". It matches the Rfam family "Bacterial large subunit ribosomal RNA", at positions 1467 to 2802 of the family's 2925-position model. The record is from RNAcentral. Lineage: Bacteria; Pseudomonadati; Pseudomonadota; Gammaproteobacteria; Enterobacterales; Enterobacteriaceae. RNAcentral also lists the same sequence under 1 other name.
GGGGGACGGAGAAGGCUAUGUUGGCCGGGCGACGGUUGUCCCGGUUUAAGCGUGUAGGUGUGUGUUCCAGGUAAAUCCGGUUCACUUUAACACUGAGGCGUGACGACGAGGCACUACGGUGCUGAAGCAACAAAUGCCCUGCUUCCAGGAAAAGCCUCUAAGCAUCAGGUAACAUCAAAUCGUACCCCAAACCGACACAGGUGGUCAGGUAGAGAAUACCAAGGCGCUUGAGAGAACUCGGGUGAAGGAACUAGGCAAAAUGGUGCCGUAACUUCGGGAGAAGGCACGCUGACACGUAGGUGAAGUGAUUUACUCAUGGAGCUGAAGUCAGUCGAAGAUACCAGCUGGCUGCAACUGUUUAUUAAAAACACAGCACUGUGCAAACACGAAAGUGGACGUAUACGGUGUGACGCCUGCCCGGUGCCGGAAGGUUAAUUGAUGGGGUCAGCGCAAGCGAAGCUCCUGAUCGAAGCCCCGGUAAACGGCGGCCGUAACUAUAACGGUCCUAAGGUAGCGAAAUUCCUUGUCGGGUAAGUUCCGACCUGCACGAAUGGCGUAAUGAUGGCCAGGCUGUCUCCACCCGAGACUCAGUGAAAUUGAACUCGCUGUGAAGAUGCAGUGUACCCGCGGCAAGACGGAAAGACCCCGUGAACCUUUACUAUAGCUUGACACUGAACAUUGAGCCUUGAUGUGUAGGAUAGGUGGGAGGCUUUGAAGUGUGGACGCCAGUCUGCAUGGAGCCGACCUUGAAAUACCACCCUUUAAUGUUUGAUGUUCUAACGUGGACCCGUUACCCGGGUUGCGGACAGUGUCUGGUGGGUAGUUUGACUGGGGCGGUCUCCUCCUAAAGAGUAACGGAGGAGCACGAAGGUUGGCUAAUCCUGGUCGGACAUCAGGAGGUUAGUGCAAUGGCAUAAGCCAGCUUGACUGCGAGCGUGACGGCGCGAGCAGGUGCGAAAGCAGGUCAUAGUGAUCCGGUGGUUCUGAAUGGAAGGGCCAUCGCUCAACGGAUAAAAGGUACUCCGGGGAUAACAGGCUGAUACCGCCCAAGAGUUCAUAUCGACGGCGGUGUUUGGCACCUCGAUGUCGGCUCAUCACAUCCUGGGGCUGAAGUAGGUCCCAAGGGUAUGGCUGUUCGCCAUUUAAAGUGGUACGCGAGCUGGGUUUAGAACGUCGUGAGACAGUUCGGUCCCUAUCUGCCGUGGGCGCUGGAGAACUGAGGGGGGCUGCUCCUAGUACGAGAGGACCGGAGUGGACGCAUCACUGGUGUUCGGGUUGUCAUGCCAAUGGCACUGCCCGGUAGCUAAAUGCGGAAGAGAUAAGUGCUGAAAGCAUCUAAGCACGAAACUUGCCCCGA